UUCGAGGUAGUGACGAGAAAUAACAAUACAGGGCAUUUUAUGCCCUGUAAUUGGAAUGAUGGGAAUGUAAAACCCUUCCAGAGUAACAAUUGGAGGGCAAGUCUGGUGCCAGCAGCCGCGGUAAUUCCAGCUCCAAUAGUGUAUAUUAGAGUUGUUGCAGUUAAAAAGCUCGUAGUUGGAUUUCUGUCGUGGUCAUCCGGCUCCGCCCGUAUGGGUGUGCGCCUGGUUUGCCCUCGGCUUUCUUCCGGUAGCCUUCCGCGCUUCACUGCGUGUGUUGGUGUUCUGGAACUUUUACUUUGAGAAAAAUAGAGUGUUUCAAGCAGGCUUGUCGCCCUGAAUACUUCAGCAUGGAAUAAUAAGAUAGGACCUUGGUUCUAUUUUGUUGGUUUCUAGGACCAAGGUAAUGGUUAAUAGG
RNAcentral lists this ribosomal RNA (415 nucleotides) under Eimeria jerfinica. RNAcentral's name for it is "SSU rRNA". It matches the Rfam family "Eukaryotic small subunit ribosomal RNA", at positions 458 to 876 of the family's 1831-position model. Lineage: Eukaryota; Apicomplexa; Conoidasida; Eucoccidiorida; Eimeriidae. The record is from RNAcentral.